CAUUGGCAGCAUGCUCCUCCUCUCUGAACUGAACGUACACAUUCCCCACCUGAAAACGACAGCGUUCAAUUCUAACAAAAAUGGACAAAGCGAGGGGUUGGGAUUAGGGUUAGGGUGAGGGCACAUACCAUGUGAUCGGCGAGGUUGUCGCAGACAUUGAGGCUUUCGAUUUCGCCGUACUUGGAGAGCUCCUCGAAGAGAUCCUCAUAGAACUCCUGAAAGUGGUCCUGGAUCUUGCGAGGGUCGAUGGGGUGGCCGUGGGCGUCGACGCCGGGGGUUAUCAUGUCGGGGCGCUGGUACAUGUUGGCGAGCAGAAUGGUGGGGCUUAUGCUGGGCUUCGUGUGGAGGCGAGAGCAGCGAUCUCCGUGCCUACACGCGCCGAUCUUGAAGUAGAACGGGCAAUUCACCCUGUCCUUCUCCGUCCCGAAUAUCGAUGCCAGAUGCUCCGCCAUUGCCGCAACCACACGGUUCAGAUGCCGUUUUACUUCUUCUCUUUGUUGCUGCCUAGGGUUUCAGAAAUUGGGGAUUUGUAGUAAUGGGUAGAAGGCUUAUAGAAGAAUCUUUCUAGAUACUUCUUUAAAUUUAAUUUCGAAUAAAAGUGAAGGUUGUGUUUGGGUGUCCUUCCAGUCAAUUCAAAUACAUGAUAAUUUCCAACUACAAUUCUCUCUUCUGUAUUCUUAGUAUCUUAUAUUUUCAGUUUCAUGUGCUUUUUAUGUGUUUAUAUUACCAUAGCAAGUACUGGUAUAAUCAUUGUUAAAUUAUUUUUCAGUAAGAAUGAAUAAUAAUGAAUUCACCAUAUUACCUAUUGAAAAAAAAAGUAUACUAAUAAUACUAAUAGUUAAUAAUAAUAUUGAAAUAACAUAUCCAAAUUUAUAAAAUAAUAUAUAUAUAUAUAUUAAAUAAGAUAUAUCAUUCAAAUAUUUUAUUAUACACAUUUGAUUUUAAGCAUAAUCAAAUAUUUAAAUAUCAAGAAUUUCGUCACACAAAUUCUAAAAGACAAAUGAAUUCAGAAAUUCAUCUUACGAACUCUAAAAAACAAAUAUAUUAAAAUAUUCAUUUGACACACUUUGUUUAACAAAUUCUAAAGGACAAAAAAACUAAAUGUUUCGUUUAACACAACACGCUUCGUGUCAACAUUACCAUGAUGUUCUUCAUUUUUAGAAUCGAUCUCAACUUCUCAUGUUAUCAUAAGUCUUCUCAUAUUAUCAUAAGUUAUGUUAUUAUCUUUUUCGAGUGUAGUCUCUUUCACGUUGUUAAUAUCUUCAAUGGUGUGGUCCUUUAUGAAGUGCACACCAGGAUUUUUGAUUAGCUUCUUUUCAAUAGGAUCAUACAAUUUGUAGUCAAAUUCAUCAUAACCAUAACCAAUACAAAUAUACUAUCUUGUUUGUGCAUCUAACUUUGAUCUUUUAUCCUUUGAACAUAAACAAAUGUCUUGCAAUCAAAGAUACGCAAAUGAUCAUAGCUAACAUUCUUGUCAAACCAAAUUUUGUCUAACACCUCAGUAUUCAAUGCAACUGGAGGGCUAAUAUUAAUAACAUGCACAACUACAAACAAUGCCUCUCCCCAAAAAAAUUUAGACAACUUAUUUUUCAGAUUGCAUACAUCUAACUCUUUCAACCAAGGUGAUGUUGAUCCUCUCUGCUAGGCCAUUCAAUUGAGGAAUUUUAGGAGGAGUCUUUUCAUGUCAAAUACCAUACUACUUGCAAUAAAAAUCAAAUGAUUCACAAUGCCCACCACCAUUAUCAUCACAAAUAUAUUUAAACUUUUGGCCUAAUUGUCUUUAACCCAAUGCAUGAAAUUCUUGAAUUUUUGAACUACUUGAUUUUUUCUCUAUUGUAGUAUAUACAUCCAUAGCUUCCUGAAACAAUUAUCAAUCAAUAAAAGUAACAAAGUAAAGUGCACACCACUAAACAAAUUUACCCUCAAUGGGUCACAAACACGAGAAUGCACUAAUUUAAAAAUAUCUGACUUCCUUGAGGAAGGAUGUUUCGUAAAGGAUACUUUAGUUUGUUUACUAGUUAUGCAAUGAAAACAUUUUUCCAACCAUACACUCUUCAAUCCUAAAAGCAACAUCCUUUUUAGCUAAGCAAUUAAACUUUUUUUUUCACUUAUAUGAUCAAACCUUCAUUGCCACAAGAAUAUCUUCAUACAUAUAUAUAUAUAUAUCAUUCACAUUGUCCUUAACAACCAAAACUUUAGUCCAAUGCAAUUUAUAAUUUUUUUUUUGAGAAAAAAAAUAUCUUUUAUAAAAUUACAUGCUUUUUUUUGUUAAACUAAAAUUUAUCACACCAAAACAUACCAAACUUAAAAUUGUUUUAAUACCACAACUUUUUAAAUUGUUUGUCUUAAUAUUCAAUAGUAAAUAUUAACAAUAGUUUAAAUUUUAAAUGACAUAUACACAACAAAGUAAACAAUCUAAAUAUAGUCUUAAUGUCUUAAUCUUUAACAAGUUCAAUUACAAAAUACACAAUAAAUUAGUUUUGUAAGGUGGAGUUUGUACACACUUAUAUACUAUAUUAACUAUAUUUUUAGUUAAUGUGAGAUCUCCAACAUAUCCCCUCACGUUGAAUAUUGGACAUCUUGAGUGUGGAACUAGGGAACCUGAUAACAAGUUACAUGAUAAGCCCAACACAUUUGACUAGGAUAGACUUUGAUAUUAUCCUAAGAAAGCGAAAUUUAAUUUUAACUCAACCUCACAAAAUCGGCUUGUAAGGUGAGGUUUGCAUACUAUAAUUUGUGGGAGGGAACUCGAUAUCGGGUGACUCAAUAGACCCAACAAACUUGACUAGGAAAGACUUCGAAUGACUGUGAUAUCAUCUUAAGAAAGUGAAAUUUAAGUCUAAUUCAAACUCACAAAGUUCACCCACUUAAAUAAUAUAAUAUGGUCAUAUCUUUAGUCGAUAUGAGAUCUCCAACACACAUCGUCACGUUGAGGUCUGCACAUCUCAAACACAGAACUAGAGAGAACCCAAUGUAAAAAUUAAGUUGAAAACACGAAAAGAUUAAUUUCUUGAGGCGUGAGUGAUCAUUGUCUGUAAUAACUUAUCUGCGGUGUAUUGUGCAAGUCUCUUAGGAUAUAUAAAAGGAACUUCUCAGAUAUCUUGAUGAUCAAAACUAGUAAGUAAACUAUUGUAGGGUAAGAACCCAAAACAUAAAAAAUAUUAGAAAGUAAAAUAAAGAAAGCAAGAAAUAAAAAGAAGAGAGGAAGCCUUGAGUGAGAUGAGAUGAAGAGACACAGGAGACCCCUUAUUUAGAGAGGGAGAAAAAAACAAUUGUCGUUGCUCCAUUUAUGAUUCAAGGGUUUCCAACAGCUCAACCUUCCAAGGAAAACGGGGAGGAGAUCCACUGAAAAACCCAUCCCUUAGCCGUGAAGAUCUCCAACAAAUUUGAAUCUGGAGAUGAGAUGUUACAACACAAGAUUUUCAUAACUUUCGCGGGAUUUCUGCAACAUCCAAGAUUCUCUCCAACGUCUCAUUUUGUAUCUUUGACAACAUCUUUGGCUGUUGCAAUAUCUUUUGUUUCUCGCAUUCGAUUUACAACACCCAAUAGUAAGUGACAUAAUUGGUCCAAUAAACUUAACUAGGAUGAACUAUGACAGGUUCUAAUACAUAUUAAAAAAUAAAAUUUAAAUAUAACUAAAUCUCACAAAUUCAAGUCGACUUAUAAUAUAAGAUUUACACUAUAUUAUAAUUUCAUCAUAUCUAGUUGAGAUCUUCAACCAUUUCUUUUAAACACUUUUUAGUUUUCUAUUUAGAUAUUUACGAUUAUAGAAAAAUGAAGAUCAAUUAUAUUUUUUUGGAACAGUUUGGUGAAGAAAAGUUAGCAAAACUAAGGAACAAGAAAUCAAAGAAAGCAAGGAUAUUUAUGCAAACCUCAUCUUAGCCAAACUUCUAUUUUGGCUUAGCCAAAUUUUAUACAAAAAUAAAACAUGAAAACGUGGAAAAAAUAUAUUUAACCCAACUAACUUGAUUUCUUCCUCAGCCAACACAACCUUUUUCUCUUGCGUAGUCAAUUAUAGACUAAAAACAACAUUCCUAAAGUAUUAGGUCUUACGUGGUGAGCUCUGUAGGUAGAUAACAUAAAUAAAUGUGUACAAAUCUCGUCUCAUGAUCAACUCAUGUUAUGAUUUUCCAUUUUGAAAUCUGGUAUUUGGAAGAACAUUUUGGAGGAAAACCAAAUAUGAAGAAAGAAAGAAUAGGUCAUUCAUACAUUAAAGAAUUUCCACCAUCGCUUCAAUCUUUACUGCCUCUUCAUCUUCUUGUUUUGUUUCUAUACCAUUCAACAUCAAGAGUAGUUAAAUUCUCUUUUGUUAGAAUUAUAUGUAAUUACUAAAUUGUCUAAUAUACUUUUACUUUUUGAGACAAAAAAACACUUGAUUUAUCAUAUUUAAACAGUUAAUGAAAGUUGAUCAUUUUUAACAAAUUAUUGUUAUUCAAUGAAAUAGGAUAUGCUCUAAGAUAUUAGAAUAUAACUAUUCAUGUUAAGUAUUGAUGAUAGUGAAGAGAAAAAAAAAUAUUUAAUAAACUUAAUAUAACAAAAGAGUGAAAUAGUAAAUUCCAAUUCCAACGAUAUCUAUAUUAAAGAUUUUUAUCCAAUCCGACAUUUUUCAACUUAAAAGUACCAAAAAUAUUAUGAUCUUUGGCUUUAAAAUUUUACAAUUCUAGUUAUUAAAUUUUGUUUCCUUCGAAUGAAACCAGUACUGUGCUUCGUUAUACAGAUUCGCAUGUAUGAGACACUUAUUUUAAAAGUAUUGAUGACAAUAGUACACUUCUAAAAAAGUCAAUAAUCAUCAACAUCUACCAAAAAGGUAGUUUAUUCCAAGGAUUUUAAUAAUCAGUACGUGACCUACAAUAAGGUAAGCUAAUUAUGUUUCUAUUACUCAUUAACAUAUAUUAACAUAUAUAGAUACAUAGCUUGAAAAUGUAUUUUUUGUCAAAAUUUUGCAUGAGUUAUGGACUUAGAGAUUUUAAUUUCAUUUCUCAUCAAUAUAUGCACUCAAAUCUUAACUAACAUGCAGGAUCAUCUUGAAGCAAUUUAAAGCAUUAUCAUCUACAUUUGGAAUUUAAAUUUUUUGUCGUCAGAUAUUAUAGAAGUCUACCUUUUGGUAUCAGACAUUUUGCAAAUUGUUUUAAGGAAUAUCACAUUUUUACAAUAAUACUUUAGGAUUCAACAUAAUUUUGAAGAAUGCAUUCUUGUGUGAGGGAGGAAGUGAUUCACCUUUAUAAAAUCAUUAUUCAUCUUAAUUCACCAUCUCUGUUAGUUUACAUCUACAAAUUUCUAUCAGUUCACAGCCUUUAAAAAUGUAUGUAUAUAUAUAAAAUAAAAUUAGAAAAUAUAAACAUAAAAUGACAAAAAUACGGUAACUAGUACAGUAGUAUUCAAAAGCACAAUACCACCACCAUUUGUAACUCGUAUCAUCUGUAUCAUUCAAUUUACCCACAGGACAUCUGCUUAAGAACCAUGCCUUGUUCUCUGGGCUACAAAUCACCCACAAGUAUAAAGAAAAUAGGAUGUAAUGCAUCAGAAUUAUAACUACAUCCUUUUACUAAGAAUAAUCAAAUUUAAAUCAUGUUAGUUUUAUUUUACAAUUUUAAAGACUGAUCAGGGAUUAAAAUGAAUUGAUAACUUUACACACUAGAAUAACAUUACGCACAUAAAAAAACUUCAAAAUUAAUUUGUUGGUAAAGUGUACAACGCUUAUGAGUAGUAGUACCAACUAUAAUGUGUUUUUGAUAACCAGCUCAAACUUUUCAGAAAAGGGAAUGCAUGGAAUCAGAAGACAUAAAGGUGAAAUGCAGGAAUUGGAGAAAAUUGGAAGUCCCUCGGGAUGCCAAGUAUCGACUAGGGAGAGGGCAUGGAAUCAAAUGGGUUUCUCAACCUUAAAAGCAACCAGGAUAGCUAGUCGCAAGAGGGAGCCCCAAUAUUGAUUUUUGAUCGCUGAACGCCACGCCCACCCUUCAGAUUACUAAACUUUUCGUCAUUGGGAAUAAUACAUAAUAAUUCUCACAUCACAUUCGAAUAUAUAUAUAUAUAUAUAUAUAUAUAUAUAUAUAUAUAUAUAUUUUACUGAAAGUGUGGACAAUCUAGAAAGUUUUCAUCAAUUAUCAAUCUUUUUCUUGAAUGUUAGCACAAUAAAUCAAUAACCAAUACUUCUAACUAUUGAGAUCUAUUUAAAAAUGAUUUUUAUUCCAUCUAAACUAGCUUGCUAUUAUCAAAGUUUCAAUACGAAUGACAAGUUGCAGAGAACCAAGCAAAACAGAGCAAAAGACAUAACUAACCAAAUUAAAACCUUUCGGUGAGUUUCCCGUUCCUCUCUGAACUGAACACACACAUUCUCCAACUGAAAAACACUAAGUUUAAUUCGAGGCAUGGACUACAGAAAAUCAUAAAAAGGAAGGAGAAGGAAAUGGAGUUAGGGUUAGCUUACUGCAUCGUCGGCGAGGAUUUGUGAGAAGGAGAUUUGUUGUGCCAGGAUGGUAAAGGGUCGUUUCUUUUGAGGCAGUUCUGUGAAAUAUCGAAAACUAGUUAAAUAAAAUUAAUUUCAAAGUAUAAACCUCAACAAGUUGGAGGUUUGCCCAAGUGGAGUUAAGGGAAAGACUUGAUAUCUCCUGCACAUGGGUUUUUUAAGCAUUUUUACCCCUUUCAGAUUUCAGAUAAUAGAUUGAAAAUGUCAUUAUUUUCUUUGUUUUCAAUAUUAAGGUAAAGUUUUUUAAUUUUUUCUUGUAAAUUGUACUAUUUUAAUUUAAAAAUAUUUAUUAUAAAAACUAACAAACUUAGUAAAGAAAAAAUAUUUAAAGAUCCAUUAAAACGUACUCCAAUAGUGUAGUACCAUGACUAAGGCGAACUUCAAUUAACUAAAGGGCUCAUUUCUUUAGAAAGCAGGAAUGAAUACCUAAACCUACAAAACUCAUAACAAUGUAACAUCAUCCAAUUUCAAGUGGGAAAAUGAAAGAAAACUCAUUGAAAUAAAAAAAAAUGUGAAAGAGUUGAAACUGGUAGGAUAUUAAUCAAAAUUCCCUAUGAAAGUUAAUAAUUAACAAAGCAUAAUUUUCUUGUUGGAAAAUAGAACCUACAAAAAUUUCUUGGCUAGAGGAUUAUUAGACACUUAUAUAGGAAUAGAAUAACACAGAGCAGGAAAAAGAACAUAUUCACAGGUUUUUAGCUGACCUUCGUACAUACAGUAGAAACAAGAAAAGGGCUCAGCUGAUCAGUGCUUCUAGUACAUUCUAUCAUGAAGAGUGAUCAAAUAAUGCAGAAAGAUUGAUGAAAACAUAGCUCAAAACAGUGAAAUGUUAUGAAUAACCUACACAAGUUGCACAAACAUCCACACGCAAUCAAAGAUCAUGUCUAUAAAAAAAAUGGAAAAUCUAAAAAGUAAAAGAAGGAGGGAGGAAGAAGGUAACACAUUCCAUCUAUUAGAGAAGUGCAACGGCACCACCUGCACAGUGGAAAAUGGGUGGUGAGAUGUAUUUAUCCAUGUGGGUGGUCUACUCUAGAAUAAAAUAUCCUGCCUAGAACUAAAUGAAUAGGCAAACGAAAGGGAGAGAAGAAAACACAAACCAUAACAACAGAACAAAUCAAUAUCCCUCAUUUGGAGAUUGCUGUUCCUGCUCUUGAUGCUAAUGCCCAUGAGAUCUGCUAGCAUUUAGAGAGUACCCACUGUUACCUUGUCGAUGUCCUCAGCUUUAGUCUUGUUUCCAGGAUCUUGCUCUUCCUUCUCCCUGUUCCACUGCUCAAUUCUGGCGCGCCUCUCCUCACUGCCAUCUCUAACUGGACUGCGGUGUCUCCUCCGUCCAGGACUUCUUCCUCUCCUAUGUUCAGGGCUCGUGCUCCUGUGUCUCCUGCUGCGACUCUCAUGAUGGUGGUCCCUGUCAUCAUACUUUCUGCUAUGACUACGAUGGGACCGAUCCUCAUGGCUCCGAUGCCUGUAAGGACUCCUGCUUCUGCUUCUGCUGUGCUUUCCAAAUAACUGGAGUCUCAAAUCCCUGUAUAUAACAUGGAUCAGACAAAUAUAAGCUUUAAAUUUUAUAGCAUGUUUGGAUUCACACAAGAUGGUCCAGAAUCAAAUUGAAAUAUUCGCUACCAUGAGCAUAGGAUAAUGUUCGCAUGUUCAAGAAUUGAUCCAGUCUAUAAUUCGUUUUGAGAUGAAGCAACUUGGCUUUUGAAUUGGAUUUUUAUACUGACUUUUUCUACUACCCUGUUUUCAGAAUAAGAGCCAUCCGAACUGUGAAGGCUCCUCUAAACACAUUUAAGCAACAAAUACCACCACCUUCAAGGAAAAAAAAGAACCUAAACACCAAAACCAAAGUUUUACCUGCUAAUUCUCUUCAAAUGCAUGAAGUUGCAAUAACCACCGCGGUUGCAAGUAUUCUCCUCAUACUGCCUGCAUGUAGCUUCUCGAAAAUCCGUCACCGGCGAAAAAUCCACGAUAAUUGGCCUACCUGCACCCAUGCAAACCACAAAAGCAGCUCAAUAUUUAAAUUAAGGAGAAAGAAUGACGUGAAUUUGACGAAGCUCAUAAAUACAGAAUGAACGAGAAAUUGCAGAGAGCCAAAAGAAAAGGAGAUAACUAACCAGCAUAAAACCUUCCAGUGAGGUUCCUAACAGCAUUGGCAACAUGCUCCUCCUCUCCGAACUGAACGUACACAUUCCCCACCUGAAAACGACAGCGUCCAAUUCUAACAAAAAUGGACAAAGCGAGGGGUUGGGAUUAGGGUUAGGGUGAGAGAACAUACCAUGUGAUCAGCAAGGUUGUCGCAGACAUUGAGGCUUUCGAUUUCGCCGUACUUGGAGAGCUCCUCGAAGAGAUCCUCAUAGAACUCCUCGAAGUGGUCCUGGAUCUUGCGAGGGUCGAUGGGGUGGCCGUGGGCGUCGACGCCGGGGGUUAUCAUG
This 8892-nucleotide long non-coding RNA is filed under the name Phaseolus vulgaris (common bean). Its description in RNAcentral is "long non-coding RNA (PVUL_LNC003159)". The record is from RNAcentral. Lineage: Eukaryota; Viridiplantae; Streptophyta; Magnoliopsida; Fabales; Fabaceae.